Molecule: ribosomal RNA, 538 nt
Filed under: Bulleribasidium pseudovariabile
Lineage: Eukaryota; Fungi; Basidiomycota; Tremellomycetes; Tremellales; Bulleribasidiaceae
Description: LSU rRNA
Rfam family: Eukaryotic large subunit ribosomal RNA
Source: RNAcentral
CGAGCGAAGCGGGAAGAGCUCAAAUUUGUAAUCUGGCAGCAAUGCCCGAGUUGUAAUCUAUAGAGUCGUUUUCGGUGCCGGACCGCGUCCAAGUCCCUUGGAACAGGGUAUCAAAGAGGGUGAGAAUCCCGUGCUUGACGCGACGACCGGGGCUGUGUGAUACGUCUUCUACGAGUCGAGUUGUUUGGGAAUGCAGCUCUAAACGGGUGGUAAAUUCCAUCUAAAGCUAAAUAUUGGCGAGAGACCGAUAGCGAACAAGUACCGUGAGGGAAAGAUGAAAAGCACUUUGGAAAGAGAGUUAAACAGUACGUGAAAUUGUUGAAAGGGAAACGAUUGAAGUCAGUCGUGUUCAUUGGUUUCAGCGGGUUCUGCCCGUGUAUUACCUUUGAACGGGUCAACAUCGGUUAGAUUGGGUGCAGAAAGGCGUUGGGAAGGUAGCACCCUCGGGUGUGUUAUAGCCCGGCGUCAUAUACACUCGACCUGACCGAGGCUUGCGGUGUGCCUCUUUGAGGCGGUCUCUUUGGACCCCCACACCUGG